GAAAGAAAGAAAGAAAGAAAGAAAGAAAGAAAGAAAGACCUUGGUGUAGAUCUGGAGUCCUGGGAAGAUCAUGCUCCUCACCAGCUGCCUAAGUGGGUCUGCCUGCCGUCAUCAUCUGGGGUUCCCAACGAGCAGCAGUGAUUGCCAACAAAGUUUUGACUCAAGAACUUUCUCCAUUAGCAGAGGACAGUGACGAUGCAUGAAGCAGAAAGAACACCGCAUAAUUCUUCAGCUACCUGAGUUCAGCAGCGCUUUGGGAAGACAUAUUUCAGGACCAGACUGUGCAUGGAUGAAAAUAUUGGAAUCAAUCCAGUUCCUACCUGAUGCAAGUGAUUAUCACAUUGUUAAUUUGAUAUUAAUGUCAGUCCAGAAGUUAUUUAUUUAUUUAUUUAUUUAUUUAUUUAUUUAU
Molecule: long non-coding RNA, 409 nt
Organism: Hemicordylus capensis (graceful crag lizard)
Lineage: Eukaryota; Metazoa; Chordata; Lepidosauria; Squamata; Cordylidae
Exons: 3
Source: RefSeq, a predicted model, not a curated record